Molecule: long non-coding RNA, 3257 nt
Organism: Anas platyrhynchos (mallard)
Lineage: Eukaryota; Metazoa; Chordata; Aves; Anseriformes; Anatidae
Source: RefSeq, a predicted model, not a curated record
CCUGAUGGAUGGAGAGCCAGUGAGCAGUGGUGAGCUCUAAUGGAUCUACUGCAAAUCUUCGCUUUGUGGUUGUAACCUUAAGAGCCUACUGACUGGCACAGGAACAACUCACUCAGAGCAAAAACAGAGUGUGAACUUGAAACCUGUCUUCAUCUCCCUAUGUUCUUACCUUCAUGAAAAUGUGAGUUAGGUGACUCCUCUUUCAGAGAGGAGCAAAUUUUUCAAAAUUAUCACCCAAUUUCUGUGAAGUAUUGACAGCCACUGGGGCAGUUACAACGGAAGAGACAAUGUGCUGCCUCCUCACCUAUCCCGCUGUAACUCACUCCUGUGCCACAACCCAAAAGGCAGACACCCAGAUGGGCUUUCACAUAAGUUCUGCACCUCCACCACUUAACUGUGGGUAGGAGCCAGAAGAACUGCCUGAGGAAGUAGGCCGGACUUGUUGAAAGAGGGGUUGUAUGUCCCCACCUUCAUCAUGAUUGCUCUGCUGCUGAGUGCUCACCCACACAAGACGUUGGACGGCCUCAUGGGUCACAGCUGCAGCAAGAGGCUUGAGACCAGAAAAAGGAUGAAACCAAACCUUCCUCUGUGGGACAGAGCUGGGAUAAACUAUAUAUUUGGUUUCCAGACCUCCAUGCCAGAUUUUACAGUUCAGUUAUUACCCUUGAUUAAGCCCCGUCCUGGAGGACCUCACUGUGCAGCUUUUGGCUGUGGCAAAUCCAUGGGGCUAUCAACAUCCAUCCCAGAUCAUGGGGAGCCAAAAAGAUAAUUAGAAAAGGGGAGAAAAAGAAACAUAAAUAUUUUCUAGGCUGGUUGCCAUGCUUUUAGCCCAGGGAGAAAAAAUGUACAGCCAAGUCCUGAACCCCAGUAAGCAGGGAUUGCUAUUGGAAAGUGUGAUGCAGCCUUUAGCACUGCAACAUAAAUCAGGCUGCUCUCAUUACGUAAUCAGAUUUUCAAAUAUAUGAUGUACAAGGCCCCUGCCAUUGCAAACCCGCUAGCAUUUUAUGUCUCCACAGGUGUCACUGGAGCUACAUAACCAGACCCAUGGGUUAAACCCCCAUUUCCUGCUCAUAAAGUUGUGUGUUUUAGCUAAGGUGCUAUCCUGAUUCUGUAAAUACAGACAGUCACCCUAAGAUAGAUCUAGGAAGAGAGUAUGGACCAUCCAACCUGAGCCUGCCUACUCUGCCAGGAGAUGCCCAUGCUCCCUAUGGGAUGCCUGCAGAGACAGGGACAUCUAAAAAAGGGACUUGUGGCAGCCAGAAAGUUAAGCAUCUCCUCCUCUUCCUCUCAUGCAGAUGACUCUAUCUGGCAUUCAACAGCUCUUCUAACAAACAUGCAGAGCUCAGUUUCCUGAUGAGUAGUGCCUCUCUUCUUUAAAAUAUGGCACAUCUUCAGCUGGGCUUCAACGGCUGGUUCCAACACUAGGCCCUCAAAUGUAUAUUUACAUAUCGAACUAAGUAAAAUAUAAGCCCUAGUCUAAGAAAAAAACUUUGCUUGUGAUGCAUUGAAUGAUCCUGUGAAAGACUGAGCCUCCAGUGCUCCCAGGAGCUGAAAGAAGAGUUGAAGACGAAUAACACUUUACAGGAUUAUGUUCCUAUUUACAUGGUGGACAGUUGAUGUCUCCAAGUUACUUAUGCAUCUUAUUUUUAAAACAAAGUUCUGUUGUUGUUUUAAAUUAUGUAAAUAUCUUGGGAAGUGAAGCAUUUUUUUUUUUUCUUCCAGCAUCCUCACUCAUUCCAGCACCGUGAUGCUCACUGGGGAGCAGGAGGAUUGGAUGUCAGUGAGCUGGCAACUUUCCACCAUUAGCAAAUGUUUUCUAAUAUGUCCUUCAACCAGCUCUUCACAUCUGAGUUCUAACCUGCCUCAUUUCUGUCUGCAAGAACCUGAGUCUCACCAUAGGGGUGCCACACUGAGGCUUUAUAUCCAAAUGCUGCAGUGCCACAGACCUCAGUACAACGCCUGUACCUUUGCUGGGAGAACAAAAAGGAAAGUCUGGAAUCAUCGUAUUUUAUCAGUCUAGUUCUGUAUCUAGUACCUGUUUGUUUCUUUUUCCUUCAAAGCGAGUUGGUUCAGUAAUGUGGUGUCUCUACCACUGCAGUCUUUCCUGUCUGGUGGGAAGGAGAAUAGAGCUCAAGUGAAGGCAGCCAAAGCUGGACAAGCCAUGCCACAGCUUGUGUCUGUCACAAGGCUGAGCUUCUUAAACAGUUUUGAAAUAGCUCUGAGUUUCCCCUUAUCCCUGACACCUGCUUUUGGGAUCUCCAUUUACUAGAAAUUAUAGGGCAGAGGCAGAAAGCAUCCUUACCCUGAGUGUGACAAGAGAUUAUUGACUUGCACUUAAUAAAUCUGCCCACUCUUCACAAACGCUUCUCAGCUCCUUGGUUCCAAAGGGGAAUGGGUUAAAUGACUGCUUGUGAUUGUCCUACAGCUGAUGAGAUGACCCUUAUGAAUUUCAUGUCAGUAUUGACAAGGUGUCAUUUAAAAUAAACAAACAUGAAGCUACAAGAGUUGACAGUUGAGCCCUGAGACUACAUUCUUUGCUUUUUGAUGGUAGGGAGCCUUCGUGCUCUGGCAAAAAGUUGAAGCGUGGAAUUCCUGCAGAAUUACGUAUUAAAUCUGCAGGAAUACAACAAAGAGAGGUCGCCAUGAAGGGUGUUAUUUUACUGAAUACCAAAGGAAUUAAGAACAAUCAGCCAAUCGGGCUAAAGCUUUGUCAUUUAGAUAAAUAUUUAUAAGAGAUCUUUUUUUUUUUUUCAUCCUCUUGCAGUUCUGUUUGCAGCAGUUGGGCAGUUGUGCACAAAAAUUUGUGCUCAGACUUUUGCAAGUGAACAAACACAGAGUUUGAGCUGAAUUCUGGUCUCAUUUAUGCUGCUCAGUGUUAGCAAGGAUAGAAAUGACCUCUGAAUUAGGCCCUUUAUUUCAUAAUAUACGGAUGGACUCAGGUUGCAGACUUUCCAUGUAAAUUUGUUUUCAGAUUGUGGUGUGGAUCUACUGAGAGGAAGAAUAGAUUAAGAAAGCUGGUCUGGACUCUCCAUACAGAUUGGAUUCAGAUCAAUUUACUGUACUGUUGGAUUAACUUUUUUGAAAGUGAGCGACUGGAGCUGGUUUUUGUCUCUGGCACAUUUCUCAUCUAAAAUGCAUUUGUUUUCAAGAAACUGUCUUUGUAAGUCAAACCCCGGAGAAAAUGUUGAAUUGUGCCUGUAUUAGUCUAUGCAAGAUAUUUAUGUACAUGCUAGAAGCAUAUAAACCAAUUACGUAAA